UUUUUCAAAACUGAACCACAAAAUCUAAACCGAAAUCAAGUGCUGUGUGGUUUGCUUGCUCCCAUAAAGGGUAUUUUGAUCUGAAAACAACUGAAAAGACAAACGAUGAAAACCAUAUCUCAUUUUGACAAACCAUGAGAGCAAUUCUUUUUUCAUCCACUUAUGUGAAAAUUUCUUUUUCCAUAAAGCCACUAAGGAAAUGGCAAAUUUACUUCGU
Molecule: small RNA, 217 nt
Filed under: Arabidopsis thaliana (thale cress)
Lineage: Eukaryota; Viridiplantae; Streptophyta; Magnoliopsida; Brassicales; Brassicaceae
Description: ATSL289590
Source: RNAcentral